AAGGAGAAACGCCAGGCGUCUGGCCUGAAGUGCGUUUCUGGGCGCGUGGAAACGCCCAGGAGCGCCGGGAGGCAGCGGCGAUGGCGGAGCCUGGGACUGCCAGGCGCGCCGGGCAGGAAAAGACCGAUUCCAGCCAGGACAACUGCACCAGGCUGUCUGGGCAACUUUUCUAGUCAAACCUAACGACGCAAAGCAACAAUGGAGGCAAUUGCUGUUUUACAAAUAAAAAGAUCAUCCC
Molecule: unclassified non-coding RNA, 238 nt
Organism: Dipodomys ordii (Ord's kangaroo rat)
Lineage: Eukaryota; Metazoa; Chordata; Mammalia; Rodentia; Heteromyidae
Source: Ensembl